GUUUGCCAUGAGCUCACUUUUCUCCCCACUGCUCUACUUCAUUCACAACAGCCCUAGCUUGUGCCGGGCUUUUGGGACUUGCUGCAACCAUUUUGGGUUUCUUUUUUUCAGUCAAAGUUUAAAAAUUUGGAAAAAUGCUAGAGCAGAAAUGUAUAAUCCUUACUUGUGCUUUUUUUUUUUUUUUUUUUUUUAAUAAUCUCUGAUUUACAGCCAUCUCUUUGGAUCUGCAGGAAGGGGUUUUAGGAGAAACCUAUUGUUUCCCCCCAACUUUUUGGAGCUGGCAUUACUGCUGGUACCUUUUUGAUCUAUGCAUGAAUACCUGCCUGGUUUUGUGCUCCUGUUUCCUCACUUGUCCAGACCACAUGAACUUGGAGCCAAAGCUAAUAAGCUUCUUUCUGUCCUAUAAAGAAUAAGUUGCCUACAGUGUUAGUGUGUCUUGCCUGUGGGAAACAGCUGUGUGGCCUGUAAAUCCCACUUGGCUGCUCCUGUGCCAGCUCGGUAACAGUGAUGGGGAUGCACAGGUGUCACGGCACAGCGGUGUGGUCCCCAGGCUGUCCUGGAACAUCCCUGGGCCUCCAGUCCCUUGAUUGCUCCUGAUUUAUGCACCACAGAGAGGAACGUGGUUUGGCUCAGAGGGAGCAGGAAUGGCGACUGAAGGAAAAAGGACUUCUCACUAAUGGCCAAUCUAAAGGAUUAGGACCGGGAUCAGAACAGCUGGAGAAUGAGAAGGACGAUGCAUCGCAAGUGUCCUCAACAAGCAACGAUGUUAGCUCUUCAGAUUUUGAAGAAGGGCCCUCAAGAAAAAGGUCAGUAGCGCUUUAUGAUUAAUGUAGUAGCCUUUCAGCUUUGUCCCUUUCCUGCUGUGAGGUUGCGGUUAUAUAAUCAGUAGGGCACAUUUGUAUAUACUACCUUACCGUAAACAGACUUUCCAGGAGUCCCUCUAGUAACAGUGAGGAUAUAGUGAGUUUUGGCUUCGUCCUUCAGUAUAGAUGGUACAAAUAGAUUGUGCUUGCUGCUGUUUUGGAAAACACAGAAAAGCAGUUGUUGUUUUGCAGUAGAGGAUUGCUAAAUUAAAUGCCCUAGUACUCUGCCCUUACCUCCUCACCUACAUUGGCCUCUCAGGGUCAUGUCAAUAAGUACGUGUGUGUAAUUUCAAGAAAAACAUUGCUG
This 1170-nucleotide long non-coding RNA is filed under the name Apteryx rowi (Okarito brown kiwi). RNAcentral describes it as "lncRNA (ENSARWG00000009856.1)". The record is from RNAcentral. Lineage: Eukaryota; Metazoa; Chordata; Aves; Apterygiformes; Apterygidae.